GUGCUCGCUUCAGCAGCACAUAUACUAAAAUUAGAACAAUACAGAAGGUUAGCAUGACCCCUUUAUGGUUUAAAAAAAAAGAAAAAGAAAUGAAAGCCUCCCUC
Molecule: small nuclear RNA, 104 nt
Organism: Cercocebus atys (sooty mangabey)
Lineage: Eukaryota; Metazoa; Chordata; Mammalia; Primates; Cercopithecidae
Source: Ensembl